GCCAGUUUGAGCUGCAGACAUGUACAGUUCAGUAAACCACUCCACGUACCGAAACCCUGCUGACCUCGUCUAUCUCUUCAUGGCUGCUGAGAGCACUGCUGGUGAAAGCAUGUCAGCCUCCGUGGGUUGCCAGAUCAAACAAGCCACGUGGGGACAUCGGGGAGGUCAUUUUGAGGACCCACCAACAAGGCAAACAUUACUGGCAUCAGACCAAGGGUGAAAUCUGCUUUCUCUGCUGCGGGAACACAAGUUAUGGGUGAAAAGCAUGACUGGGCCCUUACCCUGUGGAGGGGGUCAUGAUGCAGCCUCCACGGUCAACAGUCAUCCUACAACCGCAGCCACGCUCCGG
This is a long non-coding RNA of Gambusia affinis (western mosquitofish), 349 nucleotides long. RefSeq lists it as uncharacterized. Lineage: Eukaryota; Metazoa; Chordata; Actinopteri; Cyprinodontiformes; Poeciliidae. The transcript has 4 exons. The record is from RefSeq and is a predicted model, not a curated record.